Molecule: non-coding RNA, 2237 nt
Organism: Meleagris gallopavo (turkey)
Lineage: Eukaryota; Metazoa; Chordata; Aves; Galliformes; Phasianidae
Source: RefSeq, a predicted model, not a curated record
UGCAUUCCUUCCCAGACCUCAUUGAAGGGUUGACAGUGGAGGCAAGGGUAUUUUUUUUUUUGGAGAUCUUCAUGUGCAUGAGGACUUGUGAAGUGGCAGAAUCCAGCCUCCUGAAUACACCUGUCCUUCUAUCAGCAGUUAUGGAUCUAACCCUUAUGACCACCAGCACUGCUCCUGCCUCAAUUCUCAACCAAAAAAAAAAUUACGAGUUGUUCUUCCCCAUUUAACGUGGCUGUUUGGAGAGAAAGUACAAGAGAAGUCUUGAAAUCUUGCAAACAGGCACUCCCUUUCAUCUGCAUGAUAAUGAUUUUGCCUCAUGACUUCAAGAAGUGUCUGUGGGUGGAAACAGUGAGUGAUAUAUUCAUAUAAUGAGGCUCUAAAUGACUACAAAAGACUUUACAUCGCUGUGAAUCAUCCAUCUGCAGUGCUGCAUUAUUCAGAAAUUAAUGCAACCCUAUAAAUGAAUAAUGAUUUAAAUGUACUUUUAAAAAUUGUUAAUGCUCCAGCAUUUUUUCCUUCUCUACAUAAUCAGAAAAUUGAUUAUGACUAUGACUAGACCUAUGUUCUUCAUUUAAGUUAUGUAAUGGUAAUGUAAAAAAAUGUCCUGUGACAACAAUGAGAAUAGAAAGAGUUCUGGGAGACUAGCACUUGGUUUAUAAUUUUCAGAAUUCCUUAACUAAAUUCAGUUGAAUUCAGAGGGUAUUAGCACCAAAAAUCCUCCUAAAAGUCUGUAGGUUCUAAAGAAAAUUGAGUUAUUUCUGAAGUUAAUGAAAAUGAUCCAAAAUAUGAGAAUGUAUGUCAAAUAUCUCCGAAUAAUAUAUCCAUGGAAAAGUUUCUGCUUGCUUAUUUUUUUUUUUUCCUGUUAUCUUUUUUAUAAACCAAGUGAUGAACAGAAUCAUAAAAAAGGAGCCACAUGAGAAGCCGAAGUAACAUGAACUAAUUUCAUAAGCGUUAGUUUGAGGAUGAUGUCUCACAUAGAUUACGUGAUAAACAAAACAGGGUGAGUGCAACCAGAGCCUUUAUAACAGUGGGAUCUAUAAAAGUCCCACGUCUCUGCACGGAUUUUUAAUUUUAUAAAGCUAAUAGCAUUAUCUCUUUGUUAAAUUGAGACAAGAUUGGUAAAGAGAUUCCAAAGACAGGGAGUUACCAAAUGAGUAAAUUGAGACAAAAAGAUGGAGCUCACUGUCAUAUACACCUUCAGAAACCAGGAUGAAGGCAAUGUGAAGUUACAACAUUGCCCACCGUGUCCAGAAAGGAUGUUAGGGCACAGUAACUCAACUCGGCUCCCCAUCCUAGCCCUGCAAAGCUAAUUCUGUUACAAUAACUGCAAAUGUACAAUAACUGCAAAUGUACUGGGGUUUUUAGGAGGGUGUGACCAAGAGCAGAACUGGGUAUAUUCAUUUAUACAAACACCAAGAAAACAACAUGUGAGCAGUGUCCUUGGGCACAUGUUUUAAACCAUGUAUUAUAUAAACUAUAAAAUGCUUUUCUGGUCAAGUCAUAAAACCAAUUUUUAAGAAGAAGACGGAAGGAAAGAAUUUGUUUUCUUUGCAAUAAAACAAGUGUUAUCUACUAAUUCAUUUCACUAAGAUUGUUGAACAAAGUUUCUUUCCUGUGCAUAAAUGAAAGUAUGAAGGACGGACAGAUGUUCAGUGUUUUCAAUGAAACUGGAUACUUAAAAGAAUAUUUGGCCGCAGAAGAAGGGUUCAAUAAAGCCAUCUUCCGAUAGCAUUGUUUUAUAUCCUUUAAGUCCCUACUAAAUUACUGUAAAUUAUUGAUGCUGUAAAGUGCACGAACCCUGCUAAGGCUACAGUCAUUGAAGUCCCCUCUAUUAAAAUUGCUGCCACAUGAGCAGCAGAAUUGAAUUUGUAUCGAAGAUAUCCUAAAAUAUUGCUACCAGCCUAUCAGGCUACUACAACUUCCAAUUUCUUAGAGUUUGAUGAACUCUCUAGUAUAUACUUUUGUUAUUAUCUAAUUCUACCGAUAAACUGUGAUCCCAACAUUUUUCUCCACAGAUGAUUUACUAGGCUGAAAACAAUAUUGCCUGUCCUAAUUCAUUCUAGCCAGUGAAUCUUUAUCAAAGGAAUUCAUGAACGCUGGGACUGUGCUGUUAGCUCAGCCUUUCCUACAAGACCACCCUGAAAUGCAAAUCAUUUUCAGAGGAACACAAAGGGCUCUGCCCAACGUUCGCAAUUCACCCACUCUUUCAGUUAUGAUGUCACACAGAUAACACCGCA